GGUGCAAAAAUUGUGAUCGAUCAGUCACUGCGUGGCCUUAUUUAUCGAGCAGCGAAAUCAGCAGCGGCCUCCGGAUCUUCGUUCCUCACUCGAUCGCCAUUGCAGCAUAAGGGAAGGGAGGGAAGGAAGCAAGCGAGGAAAGGGGAUUUUCCGCAGUCGCAGGAGAAUUUUGGAGAGAUGUUGUUCGGAAUUAUGAAAGGCGAGCCGCUGCUGACGAAGGCGGCGGCUGUGGCCAAGUACGGCGUGCUUCCUGGCGCUAUGCUAUGGGCGCUCAUCUACUCGCCGCCCGAUUACGCUUUGCCUAAAAAACAAUCCGAUUCUGGAUCCUCCGCUGCCUCGAGUUAGACGAGUUCUUAAUGUGCAUCUUUUUCGAUGGAUUUGUGGGAUCUUGGAUGAAGACAGUAUUGAAUAAUCGUCUUGCUGCUUCAUUGCUGUAAGACUGCUGUAAACGUUCCUCAGGUUCUUUGUAGUUGUGCUUUUUCUACCUCUAUAGUAACAUUUGUGUUGUGGUAGAAUUUGAUGCAUGUUUAAUGUCAUGCCUUGAGUUUUCGAGCUUCAAUAAGCUUAUACAUAUGUCUCUUUCCGUAA
Andrographis paniculata is the source of this 588-nucleotide long non-coding RNA. RefSeq lists it as uncharacterized. Lineage: Eukaryota; Viridiplantae; Streptophyta; Magnoliopsida; Lamiales; Acanthaceae. The transcript has 2 exons. The record is from RefSeq and is a predicted model, not a curated record.